GCGUGAAUGAUGAUUUCCAUUCUUUUGUCGGAUACCCCUUCACUCUACAAUGAGUGAGAAAACUCAUUCUGACAUGC
Small nucleolar RNA from Parambassis ranga (Indian glassy fish), 77 nucleotides. Lineage: Eukaryota; Metazoa; Chordata; Actinopteri; Ambassidae. The record is from Ensembl.